This 1026-nucleotide ribosomal RNA is filed under the name Triticum aestivum (bread wheat). Its description in RNAcentral is "partial small subunit ribosomal RNA". Lineage: Eukaryota; Viridiplantae; Streptophyta; Magnoliopsida; Poales; Poaceae. The record is from RNAcentral.
AUGGAUGAUUUUGUGUCAUGGCACUAUAAUAAAACAGGGAUUUUCUCGGUUAAGACGGCAUACCACAUGGAGUGGGAUCACCAACAUGGACGAAACGUGAGACAAACAAAUACCACAUUGUCUUCAACUAGUCCGGUUUGGCGCACUCUUUGGAAGCUUCAAAUACCGGCAAAGAUCAAGGUGCAUGUUUGGAGAGCUUUGUAUGGUGCAAUCCCUUGCCGGGGAGUACUGGCCAAUCGACAUAUGAUAACAAUCUCCGACUGCCCGAUAUAUGCCAUGGACUGUGAGAGUAUUCGUCACUCUUUCUUCAGAGGCAAUAGAGUGCAAGAGAUUUGGGCAAAGCUGGGUUUGCUACACAUCAUAAAUGAGCUGUCUGAAACUGAGUUGGAGGGAUCCUCAGUCCUUGGUGACCUGAUGCUAAUGCCAAACUCAGUUGUCUCGUCGCUCCCGGGCAUGCCCAUGAAGGAGUUGGUUGCUGUGGCGGUUUGGGCAAGGAAGCAUGGCACGGGCAGGAUACAGAGACAUGGAUGGACGAGACCUUCAGAGGGUUUUGUUAGUCUCAAUAUUGACGCCUCUUUUGAUGCUGAUAGUGGCUCUGGCGGGACAGGAGCCAUCAUACGGGACUCCACAGGCUUUUUCGUUGCGGCAUCCACGAGUAGUAUCCCGUUUGUCCAGGACGCAGCGACGGCCGAGGCUCGGGGCCUCAAGGACGGGCUGGUGCUGGCAAACACCAUCGGCUGCAACAAAGUGGAGAUCAGGGCGGACUGUAUGGAGGUUAUCCAGAUCAUGCAAGAUGGCGGUAACUCCUUAGGACCAGCUGCAGCCAUCUAUGAGGAGUGUACUUUCUUGUGCCGUAAUUUUAUUUCUGUUAGUUUCAGUCAUUGCCCUAGGGAAGCCAAUAUGGCGGCUGAUCUUUUGGCUACUAAGUCGGAGCCCUCGCGAACUAUUGUAUGGCAAAACGAGGCUCCGGACUUUCUACUCGAUGUAAUCACAAACGAUGUAGCCCUUUUCUCACAUGAAAUAUAA